GGUGACUGCGGAGACAUUACCUAGAGUUUGCAGACUUCGGUCUGCUACCUCUUACCCAUGUCUUUUGAGUACCUUCGUUUCCUCGGCGGGUCCGCCCGCCGAUUGGACAACAUUCAAACCCUUUGCAGUUGCAAUCAGCGUCUGAAAAAACAUAAUAGUUACAACUUUCAACAACGGAUCUCUUGGUUCUGGCAUCGAUGAAGAACGCAGCGAAAUGCGAUAAGUAGUGUGAAUUGCAGAAUUCAGUGAAUCAUCGAAUCUUUGAACGCACAUUGCGCCCCUUGGUAUUCCAUGGGGCAUGCCUGUUCGAGCGUCAUUUGUACCUUCAAGCUCUGCUUGGUGUUGGGUGUUUUGUCUCGCCUCCGCGUGUAGACUCGCCUUAAAACAAUUGGCAGCCGGCGUAUUGAUUUCGGAGCGCAGUACAUCUCGCGCUUUGCACUCAUAACGACGACGUCCAAAAGUACAUUUUUACACUCUUGACCUCGGAUCAGGUAGGGAUACCCGCUGAACUUAAGCAUAUCAAUAGGCGGGGAGGACAA
Molecule: ribosomal RNA, 539 nt
Filed under: fungal sp. P1S1
Lineage: Eukaryota; Fungi
Description: eukaryotic LSU rRNA
Rfam family: 5.8S ribosomal RNA (bases 163-316)
Source: RNAcentral